AAUUUAAAGCAACUUCAAAGGGAAGAAGGCUGAGAAAGGAAGAAGAAGAAGUUCAAGAAGUAUUUGUUGAAGAAGACAAGGAGUUUGCAAGAUCAACUUCUCUAUAGUUCACUAAACACAUCUCUGGCUUUUAAUUGAUUCUGAGCUACACAAAUAGAAUUAAGAGGGCAGAUUGUUUUCACGCGAAAUCAGAAGACCUCUAUUUUUUUAGUAUUUCAGGGUGUACUGGUGGAGUUAGGAUCUUUAUUUGGGAAAAGUUAAAGGGACCGUGGUGUACGCGAUUGUUGGAGUGGUUCUGGUUCGAGGAGUAUCUGAGAUUAUACACAAGGAAUCAGAAUUUCAUGUCUUCAGGCCAAGAGGAAAUAGAUCAGAUUUACACAUCGGAAAACUAGUCUUAGACUGUAAAGAUCGAGAACUCGGUGCCUGAUAGACUGUCUUAGUCUGCUGAAGCUUCGAUAUCGAUUACCAGUACGUGGUUAGAGUUGUGCAUAGAGUCUGUUGUGUUAUGAUGUAUAUAUCUUUGUAUGAUGUAGAUACUCCAUAGUUUGUGUAAGCUUUAGGAGCUGCGGUUGUAUAAACCUUUGUUGGUUAUGUUUUAGUUAAGGUGUCUCCAGGUUUACUCAUGAAA
This is a long non-coding RNA of Cucumis melo (muskmelon), 628 nucleotides long. RefSeq lists it as uncharacterized. The record is from RefSeq and is a predicted model, not a curated record. Lineage: Eukaryota; Viridiplantae; Streptophyta; Magnoliopsida; Cucurbitales; Cucurbitaceae. The transcript has 5 exons.